UGGGAAUUUGGACAAUGGCGCAAGCCUGAUCCAGCCAUGCCGCGUGCGGGAAGAAGGCCUUCGGGUUGUAAACCGCUUUUGUCAGGGAAGAAAUCUUNUGAGUUAAUACCUCGGGAGGAUGACGGUACCUGAAGAAUAAGCACCGGCUAACUACGUGCCAGCAGCCGCGGUAAUACGUAGGGUGCAAGCGUUAAUCGGAAUUACUGGGCGUAAAGCGUGCGCAGGCGGUUUUGUAAGACAGAGGUGAAAUCCCCGGGCUCAACCUGGGAACUGCCUUUGUGACUGCAAGGCUUGAGUGCGGCAGAGGGGGGAUGGAAUUCCGCGUGUAGCAGUGAAAUGCGUAGAUAUGCGGAGGAAACACCGAUGGCGAAGGCAAUCCCCUGGGCCUGCACUGACGCUCAUGCACGAAAGCGUGGGGAGCAAACAGGAUUAGAUACCCUGGUAGUCCACGCCCUAAAACCGAUGUCAACNGGUUGUUGGGAAGGUUCCUUCUCAGUAACGUAGCUAACGCGUGAAAGUUGACCGCCUGGGGAGUACGGCCGCAA
This 545-nucleotide ribosomal RNA is filed under the name uncultured bacterium. Its description in RNAcentral is "partial 16S ribosomal RNA". It matches the Rfam family "Bacterial small subunit ribosomal RNA", at positions 357 to 891 of the family's 1533-position model. The record is from RNAcentral.